UUGUUUUUUGUUUUCAUGUUGGUGGUGGAGGAAUAUGGGCGAAUUGUUGAGAGGAGCGCGUCGACACUGGAUACGGCGAUGUCAAGUUGUGCAAUGUAUUAUUUGAAGGCCGGAUUGGAGUUUUUGUAAUGGUAGGCGGUAGUGAUGGUGGAAGAGGCAGUGGUUACUCGGCGACGGAGAUGGGAGUGAAAGGUGGUGCAUCGGAAAGAGUGGUGGAUGGAGGCUAUGUAGGAAACGACCAAGUAUUGGGCAUUUACUGUGGAGGUGACGAUGUGUUGGAGGACCGCCUUAUUGUAGCGAUGGGGUGAAGUCGCUCUGGCCAAGUUGCCGUCGAGGAUUACGCGUGUCUGUGACUGGGGUGUAUGGAGACGAGAUGUUGUCCUUUGAACGUAUAGCCGUCGUCCCUGUGAUUGGAGCCGAGAUGAUGUCCUGUGAACGUCUAGCUGUCGUUUCUGUGACUGGAGCCGAGAAGAUGAUGUUCUGUGAAUGUAUAGCUGUUGUCUUGGUGUAUGGAGCCAAGAUGAUGUCCUGUGAAUGUAUAGCUGUCGUACCUGUGACGGGUUGAGAAGAUGAUGUACUUUGAACAUGUAGCCGUCGUCCCUGUGACUGGAGCCGAGAUGUCCUUUGAAUGUAUAGUUGUCGUCUCAGUGACUUGGGUGUAUGGAACUGAGAAGAUGUCCUUUGAACGUAUAGCCGUUGUACCUGUGACUGGGGUCGAGAAGAUGACGAUGUCUUUCGAACGUGUAGCUGUCGUCUCGGUGACCGGGGUGUAUGGAGCCGAGAAGAUGACGUCCUGUGAACGUAUAGCAGUUGUCCCAGUGACUGGGGUGUAUCGAGCCGAGAUGUCCUGUGAACUUCUAGCCGUCGUUUCUGUGACUGGAGCCGAGAUGUCCUUUGAACGUAUAGCUGUGGUCCCAGUGACGGGUGUAUGGAGCCGAGAAGAUGUUCUGUGAAGGUAUAGCCGUCGUACCAGUG
This is a long non-coding RNA of Homarus americanus (American lobster), 975 nucleotides long. RefSeq lists it as uncharacterized. The record is from RefSeq and is a predicted model, not a curated record. Lineage: Eukaryota; Metazoa; Arthropoda; Malacostraca; Decapoda; Nephropidae. The transcript is spliced from 4 exons.